CUACAAUACAGUGCAAACACAUCAGCCGUCUAAUUAGGAGAGAACAUUGCGAAGUUCACACACAGGACCUGCUGGAGUCACAAUAGAAUGGAACAGAAGAGCUGCUCAAUUACGGUGAUUUAUAUAGAAUCUACGUAGCCCGAUGUGAAUCUUCCCAGAACUGUUACCCACACGUCGCAGCGAUGCAGACCGUAGUUAUAAAAGCUACCGACGGCGUACGAUCGACGCAGAGGAUACGUAUCACACACUCAGGACCUGUUAAGCUGUUGCGCUUGACUCAGCAG
Long non-coding RNA from Brienomyrus brachyistius, 284 nucleotides. RefSeq lists it as uncharacterized. The record is from RefSeq and is a predicted model, not a curated record. Lineage: Eukaryota; Metazoa; Chordata; Actinopteri; Osteoglossiformes; Mormyridae. The transcript is spliced from 3 exons.